Molecule: small RNA, 899 nt
Filed under: Pan troglodytes (chimpanzee)
Lineage: Eukaryota; Metazoa; Chordata; Mammalia; Primates; Hominidae
Description: processed transcript
Source: RNAcentral
GGAGGAAAAGGCGCUCCGUCAUGGGGAUCCAGACGAGCCCCGUCCUGCUGGCCUCCCUGGGGGUGGGGCUGGUCACUCUGCUCGGCCUGGCUGUGGGCUCCUACUUGGUUCGGAGGUCCCGCCGGCCUCAGGUCACUCUCCUGGACCCCAAUGAAAAGUACCUGCUACGACUGCUAGACAAGACGACUGUGAGCCACAACACCAAGAGGUUCCGCUUUGCCCUGCCCACCGCCCACCACACUCUGGGGCUGCCUGUGGGUAAGGAAAGUGUGGAAUGGGCUCCUUUCCCUGGUCUCCUCAGAAGGUGACUCCCCUCCUGGGGUCUCAUGAAACACGCUGCUUCAACCGGUUUGCUCCACACACCAUUCCCCUUCCCCCACUUGGCUCUGCAUCCUCCAAGCUGUGAGGUGCCACUGGGCCCCUCUAGGGUGUGGCUUCCAUGACCCCCAUCCAGCUUUAACACUCAACAGUCUUGCCUCUUCCCUGCAGGAUUUGCUAAUUACUCCCUCUGAGCAAGCACUACUAACUUUUUCCCAUUGCCCAGACCCUUUUGACUCAUCUGUCAAGGUCCUGGCAGUAACUGGCAGGAAACGCUGGAAAUAAGUGUUUCCUCAACUGGGCGCUUAUAAGAGAUCCAACUGAGGGCUCAACGGGGCAAAUCUUCCCUGCCUGGUAGCUCCUUGGGACCACAGCAGGAAGCAAGUCAUCUUGUUCUCUCAAAUCUCUUUGAGUAUUUUGAGGGAUGCAGCACAUCACAGACAACCCUUAUGUAGCUCUCUGCACGGUCCCCAGGCAAACAUAUCUACCUCUCCACCCGAAUUGAUGGCAGCCUGGUCAUCAGGCCAUACACUCCUGUCACCAGUGAUGAGGAUCAAGGCUACGUGGAUCUUGUCAUCAAG